GCAUUGGUGAUUCAAUGGUAGAAUUCUCACCUUGCAUGCUUGAUACCAGGGUACAAUUCCCAGCCAAUGCA
Molecule: transfer RNA, 71 nt
Filed under: Loxodonta africana (African savanna elephant)
Lineage: Eukaryota; Metazoa; Chordata; Mammalia; Proboscidea; Elephantidae
Rfam family: tRNA
About the family: Transfer RNA (tRNA) molecules are approximately 80 nucleotides in length. Their secondary structure includes four short double-helical elements and three loops (D, anti-codon, and T loops).
Source: Rfam by way of RNAcentral